Anneissia japonica is the source of this 426-nucleotide long non-coding RNA. RefSeq lists it as uncharacterized. The record is from RefSeq and is a predicted model, not a curated record. The transcript has 3 exons. Lineage: Eukaryota; Metazoa; Echinodermata; Crinoidea; Comatulida; Comatulidae.
GUAUAACUAUUCUUAUUAUUUAUUUUUAUUUUAUUUCAGAUUGGCAACACCCAAUAUGUUUUCGAUGAACGUAGUACCUUACAAAAACUGACAAUAAAAGUCAACUAUUCAUUUCACAACACAGGGACCACCUAACUAUUUUAACCUACCGUCUUCAAUAAAUCAAUGUCGUAUAUUUAUGUACAGUCAUUGUGCCAGACGUGUGCUAAAAAAUACUGAAGCAAAGGCUGCUAUUUGGCCGAUUCCACCUAUAUGUUAAAAAGAAGAUAAUAAAGUUUUCAUGUACAAGGGUGAUAGUGACAACAGAAAACUGGCUGAUGUAUAUCUGGAAAAAGAUGCAGGGACACCACUGCUGCCAGAAAAGUUCACCUUGUCGAAGGAGCAAAUAUAUGUACGGUGUGUGAUAUUGUCACUGCAUACCGUGUA